Molecule: long non-coding RNA, 438 nt
Filed under: Elaeis guineensis (African oil palm)
Lineage: Eukaryota; Viridiplantae; Streptophyta; Magnoliopsida; Arecales; Arecaceae
Description: long non-coding RNA (EGUI_LNC046406)
Source: RNAcentral
GUUUUACUUUUCAUACAAUUCAUGCUUUGUAUCACAUACAACAAAUCCUAAGAUUUCAACAUCUAGGAUUUUCCAGAAAAAUAAGUUCUUCCUUUUGCAUUCUUCUUCAUGGGACCUCACAGUGCACCCCUACACACCAUGAAGAGCAUCUCAUUGAAUGAAAAGAGAGGGUCAUGUAACUCUACUUGCUCUUAUGACCAGACGGCCUGAUGAUUACCCAAUCUGAGUACUUUGCUACUCAGAACAUCUAAUCUAAUUCACAUAUAUUAGCUCAUAUCUAAAAUCAGAUCAUAACACAUCUCAUACAUUGCUAAAUUUAAAUUUCAACUCUACAUACAUAUAUGUUCAUGUUAUAAUGAACCUAGCUUCGAUACCAUUUGAAAGGAAGCUGGUGCAUUUGUGCAUGUAUUUUUAAAAAUUUACAGUAGAACAUAUAUA